CAGCCCUACGGGGCGCAGCAGUGGGGAAUAUUGCACAAUGGGGGGAACCCUGAUGCAGCGACGCCGCGUGAGUGAAGAAGUAUUUCGGUAUGUAAAGCUCUAUCAGCAGGGAAGAAAAUGACGGUACCUGACUAAGAAGCCCCGGCUAACUACGUGCCAGCAGCCGCGGUAAUACGUAGGGGGCAAGCGUUAUCCGGAUUUACUGGGAGUAAAGGGAGCGUAGACGGCAGAGCAAGUCUGAAGUGAAAGCCCGCGGCCCAACUGCGGUCCGGCUUUGGAAACGGCCCGGCUAGAG
RNAcentral lists this ribosomal RNA (295 nucleotides) under uncultured bacterium. Its description in RNAcentral is "partial 16S ribosomal RNA". It matches the Rfam family "Bacterial small subunit ribosomal RNA", at positions 334 to 646 of the family's 1533-position model. The record is from RNAcentral.